This 241-nucleotide ribosomal RNA is filed under the name uncultured Enterobacterales bacterium. RNAcentral's name for it is "partial 16S ribosomal RNA". It matches the Rfam family "Bacterial small subunit ribosomal RNA", at positions 91 to 334 of the family's 1533-position model. The record is from RNAcentral. Lineage: Bacteria; Pseudomonadati; Pseudomonadota; Gammaproteobacteria; Enterobacterales.
ACGAGUGGCGGACGGGUGAGUAAUGUCUGGGAAACUGCCCGAUGGAGGGGGGAUAACUACUGGAAACGGUAGCUAAUACCGCAUAACGUCGCAAGACCAAAGAGGGGGACCUUCGGGCCUCUUGCCAUCGGAUGUGCCCAGAUGGGAUUAGCUAGUAGGUGGGGUAAAGGCUCACCUAGGCGACGAUCCCUAGCUGGUCUGAGAGGAUGACCAGCCACACUGGAACUGAGACACGGUCCAG